Molecule: long non-coding RNA, 2721 nt
Organism: Daphnia pulex (common water flea)
Lineage: Eukaryota; Metazoa; Arthropoda; Branchiopoda; Diplostraca; Daphniidae
Exons: 7
Source: RefSeq, a predicted model, not a curated record
ACAGGGAUCAGUCGGGUGAGCAUCUCCGACACGGUAACAACUCCAUAUUUCGUCGUAAUAUCAGUUCGCAAUCAUGGGUAAAUGUUCAUUUUUAUUUCGAGUCGUAAAUCUAUUCUAUCUUGUUAUUAGUUGUUGAUACGACUAGUUACCUUCGAAAAAUAAUUUCCUAUUGUUUAUUGCAUAGUUAAUUAUGGCAUUGUGUUGCUGUUGGGUGUUGUAUCGUUGAUGUCGACCACGAGAGAAAAUCUUUCAAAAGGAAAGAGAAAAGGCAACAGAAGUCCAUCGAGUGAGCAUCUCCGACCCGGCAACAACUGCAUUCUUCGUCGUAUUACCAGGUCGCAAUCACGGUUAACUAUGCCGUCAUGCUGCUAUUGGUUGUUGUAUCGUCGAUGUCUGGGUCGACCACUGGUGUACCGACGUCUCCUGGAUAAGGCGGAUACCAAACCGAAACGCCACCACCUUAUUACUCAACAACAUACGCAACGACCAGAUACUACACCGAGGUUGCACUGUUGGGUUUACAGUUAAAUCAAAACGGAUCGAGAUUAUUACACCACAACUUGUGCUGCUCCUCGAGCUACACUACCAAAGCGCUAGAGUACUACACCGAGGCACCUACUGAGACUACGCAACUACGUAUGCUGCCCCAACCUACGACACCGAGGCUCCAGCUUAUUACAUUACCAAAGCUGUCGAAUUCUACACUGGAUCGCCCAAGUACGACAGAAAUCACCAACACGGCAGCCCCGAAGUUUCGAAUAAACUUCGUUUCAAACAGUAUAACGGCAAAGAGUGAAGACAAAUUCGACUGCAAUCGCGUCGAAUUCAAUAGCAAAGAUAACACAUUCGUACGUGUACACCGCGCCGUUAAACUUGACAUUGUCGGUCGGCAAGCCGCACUUGACGAUGGCCGUACCAUCACCUACGACAAGUGCUUUAUUGUCACAGGUGUUAAACGAAAAUCUUUUCCAAUCCCUGAGCGGUGCCCUUAAAGAUGCCCACGAGCACGUAGCGCUGUUCCGCAACAUCGAUGGCGGUAACAUAGGUCGAGUUCUCCGUUCUCCUAAAUAUUUGAGCCAAUGGACAACCGAGAAGGGGAAAGUGGAAAGUGUUAAUGUGUUGCCCAAAGCCAAUGUUGAGGGUGCAAUUUUGGAAGAUUACAAGGUCGCAUUGACCUUGAACAAUUGUCAAAAGAUUUAAACUGACCAUGUCGUCGCUGCAUGUCGGUUGGGACGCAAACACGGAUUUGUCUGUUGCUUUUGGUUUGGAAAUAGAGGAGAGGAGAUUUUGGUGGUUAUCGAGUCAAUACCGAGCUUGAAGCACGAUCGAACGUUUGGUUGGCUGGAGAUGUUACGUUCUUUUGUGAUAUCAAAUUGGGUCGCUGUUGUGUGGAACAUUAUCACCAUGCUGUUGUAUCAGGGCGAUUAGCUGGAGAGAACAAUACUGGCAAAGAAACAUGGAUGAAAAACUGCAGUGCACUGUUACCAAGUGCAUUCUUCGUCGUAUUAUCAGUACGCAAUCGGUUGAUUGUGAUGUCGUGAUGUUACCGUUUGCCGUAUCGUGGAAGGCUGGGUCGAUCACUGGUGUACCGAUGUCUCCUGGGUAUGGCGGAUACCUAAGCACCACGCCGCCACCUUACUACACAACGACAACAUUCGCAAGAACCGGUUACUACACCGAGGCACACAAUUACUACACCACCAAGGCUCCAGAGUAUUACACCGCAGCUGAUGCUGCCCCGAGUUACAUCAUCAAACGUACUACACCGAGGCUCCAACUUAUUACACCACCAAAGCGGCUGAAUACUACACCGAGCCGCCCAAGUACUACACCAACAAGGCUCCAGAGUAUUACACCACAACUUGUGCUUCCCCGAGCCGCUACACCGAAGCCCCGAAGUAUUACUCUGCCCUAAGCUACACAACUACAACUGAGGCGACCAAGUACUACGCAGCCCCAAAUUACUACACAGCGGCUGCUCCUUCGUACUACGUUGAAUUGGAAUACUACACCUAGGCUUCAGUUUACUACACCACAACCUACGCUACACCUAGAUACUACACCGAGGCCCUUAUGUACUACACUACCAAGGCACCUGAGUAUUAUAACACUACUUACGCUGCUCCGACCAACUACACCGAAGCUCCGAAGUAUUACUCUAUCCCGAGUUACAACACCACUAAGGCACCUGAAUAUUACACCACACCUUCCGCUUCUCCAACUUACUACAGGGACGUUCCUAAAUAUUAUAACUAUGUUCAGAUUUGUCGGUCAUAUCUUAAUAGUUACUAGUCACUGGGAAUUGUUGAACUUUAAUAGGGAAAUCAAUUUUUUUUUAACCUGGGUGAUCAUUGUGUACGACUUCUCUUGCCACCUAAAAGCCCUAAGACAUUGCGACGUUUUCUUGUAUUUUUUGGAUCUUUCCUAUUUCGCAUGUUGGAGGUGACCUAUUGCUCUAAUCGCUCUGUAUUCCGACAUAUUCUAGUGUUUGAAAAAACUUCAUUUACAGGGCAAGUAACGAAAGAGACAUACUGUGGUGUUUACUAAAAAUUGUUGAUGUUACCAGCUCUGUUUUUAACAUUAAUUGGUGUAACAAAUGAGUUGCAGAUAGUGUAUGGUUUAUCACAUAAGUUUAUUUGAAGGGUCUGGAGUUGAUCAGUCUAUUGCCUAUAACUUAUGUAAAACUUUAAAGUUGUAAAAAAUAUACAAAUCUGAACUAAA